RNAcentral lists this ribosomal RNA (3100 nucleotides) under metagenomes. RNAcentral's name for it is "bacterial LSU rRNA". It matches the Rfam family "Bacterial large subunit ribosomal RNA". The record is from RNAcentral.
GUAAGGGCGCACGGUGGAUGCCUUGGCACCAGGAGCCGAUGAAGGACGUAGGAGGCUGCGAUAAGCCUCGGGGAGCUGCCAACCGAGCUGUGAUCCGGGGAUGUCCGAAUGGGGAAACCCGGCAGGAGUCAUGUCCUGUCACCCGCACCUGAAUAUAUAGGGUGUGUGGAGGGAACGUGGGGAAGUGAAACAUCUCAUUACCCACAGGAAGAGAAAGCAACCGCGAUUCCGUGAGUAGUGGCGAGCGAAAGCGGAAGAGGCUAAACCGAUUACGCGUGAUAGCCGGCAGGCGUUGCGUGGUCGGGGUCGUGGGACCAUUCUGUCUCCUCUGCCGAGGGGGCGGGGAGUGAUAAAGCACGGCGUUAGUCGAAGCGUGUGGGAGAGCGCACCAUAGUGGGUGAAAGUCCCGUAGACGAAAACGACUGUGUCUCCCGAGUGGGAUCCCAAGUAGCACGGAGCCCGUGAAAUUCCGUGUGAAUCUGGGGGGACCACCCCCUAAGCCUGAAUACUCCCUGGUGACCGAUAGCGGACAAGUACCGUGAGGGAAAGGUGAAAAGUACCCCGGGAGGGGAGUGAAAGAGUACCUGAAACCGUGUGCCUACAAGCCGUCGGAGCCUGUGAUGGGUGACGGCGUGCCUUUUGAAGAAUGAGCCUGCGAGUUAGUGUUGUGUGGCGAGGUUAACCCGUGUGGGGAAGCCGUAGCGAAAGCGAGUCCGAACAGGGCGGUUCAGUCGCACGAUCUAGACCCGAAGCCGAGUGAUCUACCCAUGGCCAGGUUGAAGCGCGGGUAAGACCGCGUGGAGGACCGAACCCACUUCGGUUGAAAACGGAGGGGAUGAGCUGUGGGUAGGGGUGAAAGGCCAAUCAAACUCGGUGAUAGCUGGUUCUCCCCGAAAUGCAUUUAGGUGCAGCGUCACGUGUUUCUUGCCGGAGGUAGAGCACUGGAUGGUCUAGGGGGCCUAAAAGCUUACCAAAAUCAGCCAAACUCCGAAUGCCGGUAAGUGAGAGCGUGGCAGUGAGACUGCGGGGGAUAAGCUCCGUAGUCGAGAGGGAAACAGCCCAGAACACCGGCUAAGGCCCCUAAGCGUGUGCUAAGUGGGAAAGGAUGUGGAGUCGCACAGACAACCAGGAGGUUGGCUUAGAAGCAGCCACCCUUUAAAGAGUGCGUAAUAGCUCACUGGUCAAGUGGUUCCGCGCCGACAAUGUAGCGGGGCUCAAGCACACCGCCGAAGCCGUGUCAUUCAUGCGUUGUCCUGCGGGCUGGUCUUUGGCUGGUCCGCCAGGUGUGUGGAUGGGUAGGGGAGCGUCGUGUGGCCACGGAAGCGGCGGGGUGACCCAGCCGUGGAGGCCACACGAGUGAGAAUGCAGGCAUGAGUAGCGAAUGACGGGUGAGAAACCCGUCCGCCGGAUGACCAAGGGUUCCUGGGGCAGGCUAAUCCGCCCAGGGUAAGUCGGGACCUAAGGCGAGGCCGACAGGCGUAGUCGAUGGACAACGGGUUGAUAUUCCCGUACCCGCUUUGGUUCGCCCAUGGCAAGGCCAGGAGUGCUAAGGGCCGUGAUCUGAUGAAGCCUUCGGGUGGAGUCGGGGAGCCGCCCGGCCCCUGCUGGUAGUAGCCAAGCGAUGGGAUGACGCAGGAAGGUAGUCCAGCCCAGGCGUUGGUUGUCCUGGGGUAAGGGUGUAGGGCGAGUCGUAGGUAAAUCCGCGGCUCAUGUGCCUGAGACCUGAUGCCGAGCCGAUCGAGGUGAAGUGGAUGAUCCUAUGCUGCCGAGAAAAGUCUCUAGCGAGAACCAUGGCGGCCCGUACCCCAAACCGACUCAGGUGGUCAGGUAGAGAAUACCAAGGCGAUCGAGCGAACUAUGGUUAAGGAACUCGGCAAAAUACCUCCGUAACUUCGGGAGAAGGAGGGCCGGUGGCUGUGACGGGACGUGCUCCCGGGAGCGGCUGCUGGUCGCAGAGACCAGCGAGAAGCGACUGUUUACUAAAAACACAGGUCCGUGCGAAGUCGCAAGACGAUGUAUACGGACUGACGCCUGCCCGGUGCUGGAAGGUUAAGAGGAACGGUUAGCCGCAAGGCGAAGCUGAGAAUUUAAGCCCCAGUAAACGGCGGUGGUAACUAUAACCAUCCUAAGGUAGCGAAAUUCCUUGUCGGGUAAGUUCCGACCUGCACGAAUGGCGUAACGACUUCUCGACUGUCUCAACCAUAGGCUCGGCGAAAUUGCACUACGAGUAAAGAUGCUCGUUACGCGCGGCAGGACGGAAAGACCCCGGGACCUUCACUACAACUUGAUAUUGGUGUUCGGUUCGGCUUGUGUAGGAUAGGUGGGAGACUGUGAAGCUCGCACGCCAGUGCGGGUGGAGUCAACGUUGAAAUACCACUCUGGUCGAAUUGGAUGUCUAACCUCGGUCCGUGAUCCGGAUCAGGGACAGUGCCUGGUGGGUAGUUUAACUGGGGCGGUUGCCUCCCAAAAUGUAACGGAGGCGCCCAAAGGUUCCCUCAGCCUGGUUGGCAAUCAGGUGUCGAGUGCAAGUGCACAAGGGAGCUUGACUGUGAGACAGACAUGUCGAGCAGGGACGAAAGUCGGGACUAGUGAUCCGGCACUGGCUUGUGGAAGCGGUGUCGCUCAACGGAUAAAAGGUACCCCGGGGAUAACAGGCUGAUCUUGCCCAAGAGUCCAUAUCGACGGCAAGGUUUGGCACCUCGAUGUCGGCUCGUCGCAUCCUGGGGCUGGAGUAGGUCCCAAGGGUUGGGCUGUUCGCCCAUUAAAGCGGCACGCGAGCUGGGUUUAGAACGUCGUGAGACAGUUCGGUCCCUAUCCGCCGCGCGCGCAGGAGACUUGAGAAGAGCUGUCCCUAGUACGAGAGGACCGGGACGGACGAACCUCUGGUGUGACAGUUGUCCUGCCAAGGGCACCGCUGUUUAGCUACGUUCGGCAGGGAUAACCGCUGAAAGCAUCUAAGCGGGAAGCUCGCUUCAAGAUGAGGUCUCCCACAGGGUUAACCUGGUAAGGCCCCCCACGAGACCAUGGGGUUGAUAGGCCGGAAGUGGAAGCCGAGUAAUCGGUGCAGCUGACCGGUACUAAUAGGCCGAGGGCUUGAUCA